This 327-nucleotide ribosomal RNA is filed under the name uncultured Glomeromycotina. Its description in RNAcentral is "eukaryotic LSU rRNA". The record is from RNAcentral. Lineage: Eukaryota; Fungi; Glomeromycota.
CAGUCGUGCUGGCGCGAAAUCAGCUCGACCACUGGGGGAUCACGGGCCGUAGCGAGCCUCAAAACCGUUACGACUUGUGAUUGCUUGGUGGCCUGGUGCACUUUCGUGUCGGCUGGUUAACAUCAAUUUCGAUCGUCAUAAAAAGGCUGGAGGGAUGUGGCUCCUUCGGGAGUGUUAUAACCUUUGGCGGAAUGUGGUGGUCGGGAUUGAGGCUUGCAACGAAUACCUUCAGGGCUGUUCCACCUGGCCUCUCGUCGGCAUCCUGGCGACCGACAGCUUGCUGACGUUGUUAGGAUCAGCUUUCGAACAGGCUAGAGUGUGAGCAAA